Molecule: non-coding RNA, 203 nt
Organism: Oryza glaberrima (African rice)
Lineage: Eukaryota; Viridiplantae; Streptophyta; Magnoliopsida; Poales; Poaceae
Source: Rfam
ACUACUCCCAGUUUUGGAUUUUUUUUUAAACGUUUGGCUCUUCGUCUUAUUUAAAAUAAAAUUAUUAGUAUUUCUGUUGUUAUUAGAUGAUAAAAUAUUAAUAGUAAUUUAUGCAUGACUUAUUUUUUAAAAAUAUUUUAUAAAUUUUUUAAAUAAAACGGACGGUUAAAUGUUAGACAUAGAAACCCAAAACUUCACUUAAA